Molecule: ribosomal RNA, 1027 nt
Filed under: Priestia megaterium
Lineage: Bacteria; Bacillati; Bacillota; Bacilli; Caryophanales; Bacillaceae
Description: bacterial SSU rRNA
Rfam family: Bacterial small subunit ribosomal RNA
Source: RNAcentral
CCCAGACUCCUACGGGAGGCAGCAGUAGGGAAUCUUCCGCAAUGGACGAAAGUCUGACGGAGCAACGCCGCGUGAGUGAUGAAGGCUUCGGGUCGUAAAACUCUGUUGUUAGGGAAGAACAAGUACAAGAGUAACUGCUUGUACCUUGACGGUACCUAACCAGAAAGCCACGGCUAACUACGUGCCAGCAGCCGCGGUAAUACGUAGGUGGCAAGCGUUAUCCGGAAUUAUUGGGCGUAAAGCGCGCGCAGGCGGUUUCUUAAGUCUGAUGUGAAAGCCCACGGCUCAACCGUGGAGGGUCAUUGGAAACUGGGGAACUUGAGUGCAGAAGAGAAAAGCGGAAUUCCACGUGUAGCGGUGAAAUGCGUAGAGAUGUGGAGGAACACCAGUGGCGAAGGCGGCUUUUUGGUCUGUAACUGACGCUGAGGCGCGAAAGCGUGGGGAGCAAACAGGAUUAGAUACCCUGGUAGUCCACGCCGUAAACGAUGAGUGCUAAGUGUUAGAGGGUUUCCGCCCUUUAGUGCUGCAGCUAACGCAUUAAGCACUCCGCCUGGGGAGUACGGUCGCAAGACUGAAACUCAAAGGAAUUGACGGGGGCCCGCACAAGCGGUGGAGCAUGUGGUUUAAUUYGAAGCAACGCGAAGAACCUUACCAGGUCUUGACAUCCUCUGACAACUCUAGAGAUAGAGCGUUCCCCUUCGGGGGACAGAGUGACAGGUGGUGCAUGGUUGUCGUCAGCUCGUGUCGUGAGAUGUUGGGUUAAGUCCCGCAACGAGCGCAACCCUUGAUCUUAGUUGCCAGCAUUUAGUUGGGCACUCUAAGGUGACUGCCGGUGACAAACCGGAGGAAGGUGGGGAUGACGUCAAAUCAUCAUGCCCCUUAUGACCUGGGCUACACACGUGCUACAAUGGAUGGUACAAAGGGCUGCAAGACCGCGAGGUCAAGCCAAUCCCAUAAAACCAUUCUCAGUUCGGAUUGUAGGCUGCAACUCGCCUACAUGAAGCUGGAAUCGCUAGUAAUCGCGGAU